CUUGUUGGUGAGGUAACGGCUCACCAAGGCGACGACGGGUAGCCGGCCUGAGAGGGCGACCGGCCACACUGGGACUGAGACACGGCCCAGACUCCUACGGGAGGCAGCAGUGGGGAAUAUUGCACAAUGGGCGCAAGCCUGAUGCAGCGACGCCGCGUGAGGGAUGACGGCCUUCGGGUUGUAAACCUCUUUCAGCAGGGAAGAAGCGCAAGUGACGGUACCUGCAGAAGAAGCGCCGGCUAACUACGUGCCAGCAGCCGCGGUAAUACGUAGGGCGCAAGCGUUGUCCGGAAUUAUUGGGCGUAAAGAGCUCGUAGGCGGCUUGUCGCGUCGGUUGUGAAAGCCCGGGGCUUAACCCCGGGUCUGCAGUCGAUACGGGCAGGCUAGAGUUCGGUAGGGGAGAUCGGAAUUCCUGGUGUAGCGGUGAAAUGCGCAGAUAUCAGGAGGAACACCGGUGGCGAAGGCGGAUCUCUGGGCCGAUACUGACGCUGAGGAGCGAAAGCGUGGGGAGCGAACAGGAUUAGAUACCCUGGUAGUCCACGCCGUAAACGGUGGGCACUAGGUGUGGGCCACAUCC
RNAcentral lists this ribosomal RNA (577 nucleotides) under Streptomyces sp. RNAcentral describes it as "bacterial SSU rRNA". It matches the Rfam family "Bacterial small subunit ribosomal RNA", at positions 245 to 834 of the family's 1533-position model. Lineage: Bacteria; Bacillati; Actinomycetota; Actinomycetes; Kitasatosporales; Streptomycetaceae. The record is from RNAcentral.